Molecule: long non-coding RNA, 317 nt
Filed under: Elaeis guineensis (African oil palm)
Lineage: Eukaryota; Viridiplantae; Streptophyta; Magnoliopsida; Arecales; Arecaceae
Description: long non-coding RNA (EGUI_LNC054759)
Source: RNAcentral
UUCACCAUGGAUGGGUGGGUCUUCAACUAUCGUUAGUCCCCCUGCUUCCUAUCUCAUCGGUUGCACUGGUGCUGGCUGUGACUGAACAAAGGGAAUGGCUAUGGAGGUAGAGAAGGUGGCCACUGAGCUCCCGAAGGAGGUCGCUGUAGAAGCGCUCUCCCCCGGAUGAAGUGAUUUAGUCUCUCCUUCCUAAUGAGCCUCUCAAUCUUAUCAUGAAGCUGCAGGCAAUCUUUAGUAUCGUGAUCGUGAUCAUGAUGAUAGAGGCAGUACUUAUUCGGGUCAUGAUAGUACUUAUUCGAGUUGCAACAGUACUCUGA